Molecule: ribosomal RNA, 438 nt
Filed under: uncultured bacterium
Lineage: Bacteria
Description: bacterial SSU rRNA
Rfam family: Bacterial small subunit ribosomal RNA
Source: RNAcentral
GCGAACGCUAGCGGCGGGCCUAACACAUGCAAGUCGAGCGCGUACCUUCGGGUACGAGCGGCGGACGGGUGAGUAACACGUAGGUCAUCUACCCUUUGGUGGGGGAUAACCCAGGGAAACUUGGGCUAAUACCGCACGAGGUCUACGGAUCAAAGCCUUCGGGCGCCAGAGGAUGAGCCUGCGUCGCAUUACCUAGUUGGUAGGGUAAUGGCCUACCAAGGGGACGAUGCGUAGCUGGUCUGAGAGGAUGAUCAGCCACACUGGGACUGAGACACGGCCCAGACUCCUACGGGAGGCAGCAGUGGGGAAUAUUGCGCAAUGGGGGAAACCCUGACGCAGCCACGCCGCGUGGGUGAUGAAGGCCUUCGGGUUGUAAAGCCCUGUCGGGAGGGACGAAUUCAUGACGGUACCUCCAAAGAAAGCACCGGCUAACUCCGU